UCACCGCCGGGUUUGCAGUAUGUGUAUUUAGGGCGUAUUCUCUAGACCAGCUGUCUAAAGUCCCACUUGUGGGCCUGGCGUUGUCAUAUGCAGAAUAAAACCGUCUAUAAAAGGAGGUGGGCCGGGGCCGUUGGUGCCUUCUUCCAGGUAGAGAGACUCGUGGCAGGUAGGAUUUUUCUGCCCAGGGCUGGCAUUUGGCUUAGCUGCCUACGACAGUGUCCAUGCUGACUGGUUGAUGCCUGCUGCUGAGUAUUUUGAAUAUCACCCCUGGUCGUUAACCUGCUGCAUUUGGGGUUCUCUGAUUCCGGAUGGACUUCUGUUUGACAAAAUUUAACCAGCUGGCUCAAAGAAUAUAUAUGGCUCUUGGUUUUUCCUUGGCUGUUUCUUGUGGGGAAAAGGGGAAGAAAAUUCUCAAAGAUUCUAAACCCCUUGCAGCGAGGGGCUGAGUCUUCUGCUUCCUUGAUCUGCCCCUGACUUCCCACGUAUUCCCCUGUGCUCGGAACUCGGGGGCCUACCCAUCCACUGACCGUUCACUUCAAAAAAUAACUGAGAGAUACUAAACGCUGAUGCUUCUGUUCACCUGGUGGAAAAUGCUCCAUAUAAAUGCACAGCAUUAUUAUACGAUUGCUAGAAAGCCCCAAAGAGGGAACUGACCUUUUUCAAGUUAAGGCACGUUAUACCCUUGCGCUACAUGUUCCAUAAGUUCUGGAAUAAAAGUCAAAGCCUCCAAAAGGUUAAUAAUCUCAACUGGAGAGGGAAUUCUUUUCAGGAAAGGACGAUGAUCUUUCUUAUCUGCUUCUAACACCAGGUUGUAGGUCCAACUGCAUUUUUAGGGGGAAAAAAGGGAAUGGAGUUGAUAAACCAGUGUACCAUUUUAAACUCCAAAACAUUACUCCUUCAUCUGCCUUCUAGCUAUGGGGUCCUGGGAAGGCCAUUGCAUCCUUAUUUCUAAAAUGAAGACUUGGGCCAAACGUCCUCAAAAGACCCCUGCAGCUCUAGCAUUUUAUGAUUUAACAGAAACAUUAAGAAGUAGCAGUUGUGUUGGGCCUGUCCAGGAGGUAGGUGCAAUGUUCUUGGGGGUUGUAUGUGAUUUGCCCUGUGUGGGAAUGGAAAGCUUCAGCCAACAGAGAGUCCCACUGGGAUUCCGGAGUUCUGGAAGUUCAUGGAGUCUCAAUGGCUGGAGAAGCAGCCGAUAUAUUGCAGUGGUUCGGAGCGCGAGGGAGCAAGGCUGGGACCCAGGUGCUGCCCCUUCCUCAGUGUGUGCCAUUGGACACGUUGCUUAGCCACUCUUAAAGCCUCACCUGUCAGAUGUGCACAAUAAAGUCCCAACUCUGAUGGGCCAUUGGGGGAUUAAAGGAGGCACUCCUGUGGUUCCUGGGACACGGUCUAUGGUCGGUAAAUGGCGUUGUCAACAUUGUUUCUCAUCUGUGGCAGACGAUCACAUAGAGGGUGGCAUGGACAAUCUCUAAGGGCCCGUCCGGCUCUCGACAGCUGUAAUUUUUAUGGCUUUGUGGAAAAUGUAGCGGCAGAUGACCUCCAGGAUGUUAGGUUAACUGGUGUUCGGGGAAUGAGGCCAAAGUUCACGUAAGAGCUCCGAGCCUAUGAGAGUGGCAAAUGCUAUUUUUAGGUUAUGUUACUGACACAAGGCGCCUUUUUAGUCACCAUGCUUCUUGCAUGCCUUCUUGCUCUGCAGUGGCACUUAUAGCUUUCUGGGAGGUGGGGGAAGCCAGGGGGAUAUUUUGUGACACCCCCUGCUAGAGGCUCAAGAGACAGAGCUCCUGACCUCUCAGAAAUGUGCUGCCCGAGGAAACCAGUUCCUUGAGUGAAUCUGAAAUGAUCACAAAGGAAAUCAGGUCGGAUCUGGGCACAGACAGGGAGGAAGUGCUGGCUCAGGGCUGUGUCUGGCCUCGCUCACGACCCAGCUCUGGGUCCAAAGUCCACAAGCCCGGGGCCCUUUGCUGGAUGCUCACAGGAGACUGUCUUGGGCUUGUGCAAAUGGAUGUUCUUCUGGGUGCCCUGGCCUGGACUCUGGCAGUACUGGAAUGUCACUGGAGACCUUUGGGGCUUUCUCUCCAGUCUGUGACAUGCUUCUGACUGUGACUUGGCCUGACAUGGCUGGGGCAGGACGGUGGAAGGUAGCUUAAGUAUGCGGAUGGCGUGGCUGGGCUUGGGAGGCCUCCGAGCAGAAGAAAUUAGUGACUGAUGACGCAUCCUGAAACUUACCACCAGUAACUGUCUAUUAAGGGGCUCUUGCAUUUCCAUGAGAUCUUUGGCCUUAAACCUGUUGUAGCCAAAGCCCAACUUUUAGGGUAAAACUAAAACUUAAAAUUGAAAGUUAAAAUAAUUUUCUAAAAUCAAUGUAAGGCAUGGCAAAUUGUUGAGAGAAAAGACCGAUUCAAAGGCCACUUGUAGUUAAUAGUAAAUAACAGAACCUGUAAACCAAAUUGAAUGAUCUGUUAACAGCACAGAAAAGGAAACUGAAGUUAAUGCAGAUUUAAAAAAGCACUGCACCUGGUGUGUUUAAUUUGAGAUAUUGCAUUUUCAAAACCCCCUCCACCACGUGCCACUUGUCCCCUGCAUUUCUGUCUUGACAGGCAAUGCCCAUCUUCUUGUGGAAGAAUGGCAAAGAGUGGUUUCUUUUACAAGUCCAGGACCUUCUGUUGGCUGUGGGCUUCCCCCAAUACCUGUAAGACAGCAUCGUCAGGCACAAGGUUGAGACUGCUGAUUAGAGAGAUCAAUGAUGUGAUUAGAGGCAUGCAGAUGAGUAAUAUUUAAAAAAAUUCAGUUAUUCAUUUUGAGACCAUCUAAUCAAGGAGCAAUUAAAACAGAAGUUGAGAACUGAAAUCCAGGAAGCUAAAAUGAAUCACAUUAGACCCACAACUCCUACCAGUGACUUUUUAUUUAUCAGCCUCCAAGAGCAACUGAAUGUCACCUCCCUGGAGUGGCCUGCUUAGAUCAAUCCCACCCUCCGGUUCCUGCCCCAUCUGUGCCCCGCAGUGUAUUCCUUGGUCACGAAGGGCACCUUCCUCCUUACCUCUGCCGCCUCCAGUGCACCAGGGCUGUGCCUGGCUCUGACUUUGUUCUGGUCAUGAUAAUCUACUCAUCUCUCCAGUGUAGCUCCAAGGCUCCUCUCUCUGCCACAGCUACCCAUCACAGGCAGCACUGAGGCUUCCGUCUGCUGCGUGGAUAACCUGCCUGGGAGUUGACCCCCAACCUGCACUGGUCUCUGGCACACGUGAUCGUCUCUGGCUUUUGACUCUUCACCUGCUUGGCGAUGUUCCCAACCUGUUAGAGUCUGAGUACUCCCAGGGUUCAGCAAGUUCCAGCCCUGGUUAGCCUAGACAUUCCCGCCCCUGCCUUCUCCUCUCCUCUUCUGUGUGUGUUGCUGUCUCUGUGUGCCGACGAUGUGUGCCCAGUCCUGCACACGCCCAACUCUUCUCACAGGAUGCUGCCCUGCAGUGGCUGCUGGCUCUCUGAAUUGCUGGCUGUGUCAUGGAAAGACACGGGACUGGAGCCAGAGACUCUGGUCCAGACUUUCUACUUUCUGGUUGUACCAUCUUAAGUCACAUGACCUCUUUGAGACUGUUUUCGCAUCUGCAAAAUGGAGAUGAUGAUGAUGAUAAUGACCCUUACCUGGCUUACCUUAAAAGUGAUUACGAGGACAGUGGUGUUGGGCAUAUUUUUGGGUUUUUAUUUGUUAUCAUAUCUGGUGAAGUGACUGUUCAAAUCUUUCACCCAUUUGAAAAAAUGGAUCGUUUGCUUUCUUUUAUUGAAUUUUGUAAGUUCUUCAUAUAUUCUAGAUACAAAUCUUUCACCAGAUAGACACUUAAAAAAUAUCACCAGCUAUACACUUUCCAAAAAUCUCUCCCAGAUGUGCUUAUCUUUCCAUUCUCUUAAUAAUAUCUUAAGGAGGGCAAAAGAUUUUAGUUUUGAAAAAGUUCAGCAUAUUAUUUUAUAAAUGCUUUUGUUUUUCCUUUU
Molecule: non-coding RNA, 3978 nt
Organism: Vicugna pacos (alpaca)
Lineage: Eukaryota; Metazoa; Chordata; Mammalia; Artiodactyla; Camelidae
Source: RefSeq, a predicted model, not a curated record